UACGUAGGGGGCAAGCGUUGUCCGGAAUCAUUGGGCGUAAAGAGCGUGUAGGCGGCUCGGUAAGUCCGCUGUGAAAGUCCAGGGCUCAACCCUGGAAUGCCGGUGGAAACUGUCGAGCUAGAGUCCGGAAGAGGCGAGUGGAAUUCCUGGUGUAGCGGUGAAAUGCGCAGAUAUCGGAAGGAACACCAGUGGCGAAAGCGGCUUCCUGGUCCAGCACCGACGUUCAGGCACGAAAGCGUGGGGAGCAAACAGG
RNAcentral lists this ribosomal RNA (253 nucleotides) under uncultured bacterium. RNAcentral describes it as "partial 16S ribosomal RNA". It matches the Rfam family "Bacterial small subunit ribosomal RNA", at positions 524 to 776 of the family's 1533-position model. The record is from RNAcentral.